RNAcentral lists this ribosomal RNA (937 nucleotides) under Chaetocladium brefeldii. RNAcentral's name for it is "LSU rRNA". It matches the Rfam family "Eukaryotic large subunit ribosomal RNA", at positions 80 to 933 of the family's 3401-position model. Lineage: Eukaryota; Fungi; Mucoromycota; Mucoromycetes; Mucorales; Chaetocladiaceae. The record is from RNAcentral.
CUAGUAACGGCGAGUGAAGAGGAAAGAGCUCAAAGUUGGAACCUGUUUGGCUUAGCUAAACCGGAUUGUAAACUGUAGAAACAUUUUCCAGGCACGCUAGACAAAAAAGUCCUUUGGAACAGGGCAUCAUAGAGGGUGAGAAUCCCGUCUUAAUCUAAGUAGUUGUCUAUUUGUGAUAUGUUUUCAAAGAGUCAGGUUGUUUGGGAAUGCAGCCUAAAUUGGGUGGUAAAUCUCACCUAAAGCUAAAUAUUUGCGAGAGACCGAUAGCGAACAAGUACCGUGAGGGAAAGAUGAAAAGAACUUUGAAAAGAGAGUUAAACAGUAUGUGAAAUUGUUAAAAGGGAACCGUUUGGAGCCAGACUGGCUUGACUGUAAUCAUCCUACUUUUUUUGUGGGUGCACUUGCGGUCUUUGCCUGCCAACAACAGUUUGAUUUGGAGGAAAAAAAUAUUUGGAAUGUGGCCUUUUUCGGAAGGUGUUAUAGCCUUUUAUAUCAUACUCUGGAUUGGACUGAGGAUCGCAGUUAUUGUUUCCGCUUGUUUUUCUUUUGCUGAUAAAUGUUAAAAUUUCUGCUUAGGGUGGUGUUAAUGUUUAAAGGUAAAACUAGGAUGAGUAUUGUGAUAACUUAGGUUGUUGGCUUAAUGACUCUAAAUGACCCGUCUUGAAACACGGACCAAGGAGUCCACCAUAAGUGCAAGUAUUUGGGUGCCAAACUCAUAUGCGUAAGGAAACUGAUUGAUACGAAUAGCUUCGGCGUGCAGUAUCACCCGGCAUAGACGUUUUAACUGAAAUGACCGAGGUUAAGCACUUAUGAUGGGACCCGAAAGAUGGUGAACUAUGCCUGAAUAGGGUGAAGCCGGAGGAAACUCCGGUGGAGGCUCGUAGCGAUUCUGACGUGCAAAUCGAUCGUCAAAUUUGGGUAUAGGGGCGAAAGACUA